This 83-nucleotide transfer RNA is filed under the name Roseomonas mucosa. It matches the Rfam family "tRNA". Rfam says of the family: Transfer RNA (tRNA) molecules are approximately 80 nucleotides in length. Lineage: Bacteria; Pseudomonadati; Pseudomonadota; Alphaproteobacteria; Acetobacterales; Roseomonadaceae. RNAcentral also lists the same sequence under 13 other names. The record is from Rfam by way of RNAcentral.
GCGGUCGUGGCGGAAUGGUAGACGCGCCAGCUUGAGGUGCUGGUGGGGGAAACCCCGUGGAAGUUCGAAUCUUCUCGACCGCA